This 497-nucleotide ribosomal RNA is filed under the name uncultured bacterium. RNAcentral describes it as "partial 16S ribosomal RNA". It matches the Rfam family "Bacterial small subunit ribosomal RNA", at positions 28 to 507 of the family's 1533-position model. The record is from RNAcentral.
GAUGAACGCUGGCGGCGUGCCUAAUACAUGCAAGUCGAGCGAACAGACGAGGAGCUUGCUCCUCUGACGUUGGCGGCGGACGGGUGAGUAACACGUGGAUAACCUACCUAUAAGACUGGGAUAACUUCGGGAAACCGGGGCUAAUACCGGAUAAUAUAUUGAACCGCAUGGUUCAAUAGUGAAAGACGGUUUUGCUGUCACUUAUAGAUGGAUCCGCGCCGCAUUAGCUAGUUGGUAAGGUAACGGCUUACCAAGGCAACGAUGCGUAGCCGACCUGAGAGGGUGAUCGGCCACACUGGAACUGAGACACGGUCCAGACUCCUACGGGAGGCAGCAGUAGGGAAUCUUCCGCAAUGGGCGAAAGCCUGACGGAGCAACGCCGCGUGAGUGAUGAAGGUCUUCGGAUCGUAAAACUCUGUUAUUAGGGAAGAACAAAUGUGUAAGUAACUAUGCACGUCUUGACGGUACCUAAUCAGAAAGCCACGGCUAACUACGUG